RNAcentral lists this ribosomal RNA (207 nucleotides) under uncultured bacterium. Its description in RNAcentral is "partial 16S ribosomal RNA". It matches the Rfam family "Bacterial small subunit ribosomal RNA", at positions 568 to 774 of the family's 1533-position model. The record is from RNAcentral.
UGCGUAGACGGUAUGUUAAGUUCGUUGUUAAAGGCUCCGGCCUAACCGGAGUACCGCAAUGAAAACUGGCGUGCUAGAGGGUGAGAGAGAGAAGUGGAAUUCCCGGAGUAGCGGUAAAAUGCGUGGAUCUCGGGAGGAACACCAAUGGCGAAGGCAGCUUCUUGGCUUAUUCCUGACGUUGAGGCACGAAAGCGUGGGGAGCAAACA